GGCAUGGGCCAGCCUGGGGCCAACGACAUGGCCAACGCCGCUGCCUUAGGGAAUUUGGGGAAGGUGAGGGAGCUGCUGGACCAGGGGGCGGACCCCAAUGCAGUCAAUUCCUACGACAGGACGCCGAUCCAGGUCAUGAUGAUGGGAAACACCCAGGUGGCGGAGCUGCUGCUGCAGAGAGGAGCGGAUCCCAACCGGCCGGACCCGCGCACCGGCUCCCUCCCAGUGCACGAUGCGGCGCGAGAAGGUUUCCUGGACACCCUUGUGGCGCUGCACCGAGGCGGGGCUCGCUUGGAUCUGCGGGACACAUGGGGCCGCCUCCCCAUUGACCUAGCUGUCGAGAGCGGGCAUCAGCAAGUGGUCAGCUACCUCCGCGCCCAGCCUGCAAGGGGUGCCGCUCCGCCCCAGGCAUAGGGCACGGGCGUGUGGCCAGCCGUCUGCGGGGCUCUGCCCUGCUCAGCCAUGCACAGCACUGAACUGCAGGCACCAGGUUUGUCUACAGCAGCCGGGGACCACCCCCCAGGAGUAAUCCUGACACAUCAGGCUGGAAAGCAGAGGGUGGCCGCAGGGGAGGCUGUGGCCACCACUCAUUAGGGUUCACCCAAUUUUGUUCAUCUUUAAUCCAGUACUGUACCCUCCCCACAUUUACAGAAGAGUCCACAUUCAUGGGUGUUAUAAUAUUUCCUCCUAGAACAUAACUUAUUGUCCGUUUUUUGUCUUAAAUGUAUGAAGUAUAAUAAAGAGGAAUAAUAUAUUGUAAAUAUGCCACUUGGAAAUGUUCUCUUAAAUGCACUAAAAGCAAACACUAUUUUUGUUUUUGUUUUUUUUUUUUAGAUUUUUACUUUGCACAAAUAUGUAUAUUAGCUUUUACUUGAAAAAAAUGAACGUUCAAACACAACCACUGUAAAGGAAACCAUGAAGCUGCUGCAAGUUCAACAGAUGUUUUCAGAGAACUAUCCACAACGACUCCAAGAUCUCUCUGAGUGGCAACAUCUAAUUUAGACCCCAUCAUUUUGUAUGUAUAGUUGGGAUUACAUUUUCCAGUGUACAUUUCUUUGCACUUAUCCAUACUGAAUUUUAUCUGCCAUUUUGUUGCCCAGUCACCCAGUUUUGUGAGAUCCCUUUGUAACUCUUCACGAUCAGCUUUGGACUUAACUAUGCUUUUUGUAUGCUUUGCAAACUUUGCCAUUUUGCCCCACCCUUUUUCCAGAUUGCUUUACAAAGUGCAGUGCCACAAGAAGGAAACUGUGAAUGAUACUGGUUUUUAAAAAUCCUAUGCUGCCUGACACUGAAAAUACAAAAUAGUUCUAUAAAUUUCAA
Molecule: RNA transcript, 1320 nt
Organism: Chelonia mydas (Green sea turtle)
Lineage: Eukaryota; Metazoa; Chordata; Testudines; Cheloniidae
Gene name: cyclin-dependent kinase 4 inhibitor B
Exons: 3
Source: RefSeq, a predicted model, not a curated record